This 503-nucleotide ribosomal RNA is filed under the name uncultured bacterium. RNAcentral describes it as "partial 16S ribosomal RNA". It matches the Rfam family "Bacterial small subunit ribosomal RNA", at positions 30 to 523 of the family's 1533-position model. The record is from RNAcentral.
AUUGAACGCUGGCGGCAGGCUUAACACAUGCAAGUCGAGCGGGGUGAUGGUGCUUGCACUAUCACUUAGCGGCGGACGGGUGAGUAAUGCUUAGGAAUCUGCCUAUUAGUGGGGGACAACAUCUCGAAAGGGAUGCUAAUACCGCAUACGUCCUACGGGAGAAAGCAGGGGAUCACUUGUGACCUUGCGCUAAUAGAUGAGCCUAAGUCGGAUUAGCUAGUUGGUGGGGUAAAGGCCUACCAAGGCGACGAUCUGUAGCGGGUCGGAGAGGAUGAUCCGCCCCACUGGGACUGAGGCACGGCCCGGACUCCUACGGGAGGCAGCAGUGGGGAAUAUUGGACAAUGGGGGGAACCCUGAUCCAGCCAUGCCGCGUGUGUGAAGAAGGCCUUAUGGUUGUAAAGCACUUUAAGCGAGGAGGAGGCUCUUUUGGUUAAUACCCAAGAUGAGUGGACGUUACUCGCAGAAUAAGCACCGGCUAACUCUGUGCCAGCCGCCGCCGUAA